Molecule: microRNA precursor, 83 nt
Filed under: Bos taurus (domestic cattle)
Lineage: Eukaryota; Metazoa; Chordata; Mammalia; Artiodactyla; Bovidae
Also listed under: 4 other names
Description: mir-3661 microRNA precursor family
Rfam family: mir-3661 microRNA precursor family
Source: Rfam by way of RNAcentral
CUCACGGAGGCUCUUGACCUGGGGCUGGGACAGCUGCUUGCACUUGUUCAGCUGCUUGGUCCACUGGUCAGCUCCUUGGUGAA